This 492-nucleotide ribosomal RNA is filed under the name uncultured bacterium. RNAcentral describes it as "partial 16S ribosomal RNA". It matches the Rfam family "Bacterial small subunit ribosomal RNA", at positions 30 to 507 of the family's 1533-position model. The record is from RNAcentral.
AUUGAACGCUGGCGGCAUGCUUUACACAUGCAAGUCGAACGGUAACAGGCCUUCGGGUGCUGACGAGUGGCGCACGGGUGAGUAAUGCAUCGGAACGUGCCCAGAGGUGGGGGAUAACGCAGCGAAAGCUGUGCUAAUACCGCAUGUGAUCUGAGGAUGAAAGCGGAGGACCAGGCAGCAAUGUUUGGCCUCGCGCCUUUGGAGCGGCCGAUGUCAGAUUAGGUAGUUGGUGGGGUAAAGGCCUACCAAGCCGACGAUCUGUAGCUGGUCUGAGAGGACGACCAGCCACACUGGGACUGAGACACGGCCCAGACUCCUACGGGAGGCAGCAGUGGGGAAUUUUGGACAAUGGGCGCAAGCCUGAUCCAGCAAUGCCGCGUGCGGGAAGAAGGCCUUCGGGUUGUAAACCGCUUUUGUACGGAACGAAAAGGCUCUGGCUAAUACCUGGGGCUGAUGACGGUACCGUAAGAAUAAGCACCGGCUAACUACGUG